This is a non-coding RNA of Lactuca sativa (garden lettuce), 324 nucleotides long. NCBI's taxonomy places the organism in Eukaryota, Viridiplantae, Streptophyta, Magnoliopsida, Asterales, Asteraceae. The record is from RefSeq and is a predicted model, not a curated record.
AAAAAAACUCGGUACUCAAACACGUUCCUCCUUACCGUUUGCUUUUUCCUCUAACUUGAAGACGAAGAACCCUACAUCGAUUUGGAGUGCCGCUGCCGGAAUUUCAUUUACUAAACGCUACAGCGCCCGUCGGAAUCUUUCUAGUGUUUGCUCCACUUCACCACCACUGUCGUCGGUAUCUUCCACAUUCCCACUACCGUAACUGUCGCCGGUUCCUCCCACUCCACCACCACUGUGGCCAGUUACUCCCAAUCCACCCCACCGGUACUUGUAAUCAGACGAGAUGUCACAGAAUAGAGAAUGGAUGUACAUAAUGAGACUCAC